This 7948-nucleotide long non-coding RNA is filed under the name Podarcis lilfordi (Lilford's wall lizard). Lineage: Eukaryota; Metazoa; Chordata; Lepidosauria; Squamata; Lacertidae. The record is from RNAcentral.
CGCUCGGCUCUUGGAUACAGUGUGUGCUUUAAAAGCUCAGCUUCUUUUUCUUAGGUUCUCCAUGGCAACUGCAUCAGCACCCCAUGAAUAAAUUACCUCUCUGACACAACAUCGCUUAUUAGAAUAGAGAAAAUGCCAUUUCUGAGUCAUGUCUUUCUGAUGGGGCCUUUUGUCUCUUCCUUCAUUCUUCUGUCUGCCCAGUUCUCUGUGUGAAGAGAAAGUCAGCCAGACAGUUUGCCUUGGGGUGAGCAGAAUGUCCCUCUCCAGGCCAUGGGUGACUUCAAAGGGCAGUGAGAGUUUCCUGUGCUGGCCUUAGUGUGGAGGAUGCCAUGGUAGGGAACAGACACUGUGGGUUGGCUUGCUUGUCUACAACCCUUUUCUUAAACCUAGUCCUCUACGGCUCUUGAAUUAACCUCCCCUCCAUCACCCACAUACGCAUCCUGCAGUUCUCAGUUAGUCUCAUCUUUAUCCCUCCUAAGUGUUGUCCUGCCACAACAUUGCAGAGGGGAGAUCGUUUCGUCACGCAGAAAUGUUUGUGCUGAAUCAUAAUAGCAGGCCCUCCAAGUGUCCCUAGUUUCCAGUGACUGUCCUGAAUUUACAGAAGCAGUCCCAGUUUCUCGCUUGAUCCUGGAAUGUCCCGCUUUUCCAUAGGACAUCCCUAUUUUCUUCAGAGGAAUGUUGGAGGGCAUGGAGUUAUGUGACCCCUGAGCCAAGAAGAUAAGUAACUAUACAGACUUUAGAAGACAUCUGAAGGCAGCCCUGUAUAGGGGAGUUUUUUCAUGUUUCAUGUUUUAUUAUGUUUUUAUAUAUGUUGGAAGCCGCCCAGAGUGGCUGGGGCAACCUAGUCAUAUGGGUGGGGUAUAACAACAAUAACAACAGCAUCCUCCCCAUCCCAUUUUUCUUUUGUGUCAUAUCUUUUAGGUUGCAAGCCUGUGGGAAGGAACUGCCUUAUUUUUAAUUGAUUGUACAUGAAUCAAUUGAGAGACCUGUGUGUAAGUAGGUGUGCUUUUUCUAGUCUCAGGAUUCCAGGUUAAUCGGUGUUGACUACAAAUGAAAGAUUGGAACUCUGCACAGAGAACUGUCCCAUUUGACAGUUUUCAGCCUGUUGUGAGCUAAAAGUUCAGAAUGUCAGGAGGAGAAAAUUGGGGGAAGAAUGCUGCAGUUAAAUGUUGCAAUAGAAGCACUUCAGUAACUCAGUGGAAUUGUUUGUUUGGGAGGUAUUGUGUGUCAUAUUGUGCAUUCUGAGUUGUUGCAAUCAUCACAGUGGCAGACCAAUUUGUUUAAACUGUCUGUCCUGUUGCUACUAAGUGAGAGCAAGGGCCUAAUUUUAAGGUUGCAAUGGGUAAGGAGAGUUGAACCUCCCUGCAGCAUAACUCCCAACAAUUCAUUGCCAUCUCCCACCCCAAAACUGGCCUCUGAUGUCAGAAGCCAGCUCACAUACCUGGGAGAGGGCUGCUAGGAGGUGAGUUUGGGGACGGCUCAUCUCCAACCUGUGCACACAUUUUGCACUUAAAAGCAAUGCUCCCAUUAUGUAGGGAACAAAAUGCAUAAGCCUCACCAGCUGAGUCCCCACCCCAGUUUUAGCUAAUCACACCCUCCAACACUCUAACAAGACAGUAACUAAGAGGGCCAUUUGAAACCAGAAGAGGGUAGCCUCUGAAUUUGAGCACUGCUUAAAAUCUGAAACAGUCUCCCAUUGUCAUGUGCAGCUUUUGCUUCAAAUUUCUCCAUCUGUGAUUAAUUACUGAACCUUAAUGGCUUUUCGCAUCUAUGAUCAAACAAACUGGUGAGAGGCAAAAAGCUGGAUUCUGUGACCUUUGCUAGAGAUUAAAAUUCAAUAAAAUAAUAAUAGUGGUGAGAAUACCAAGGCAUUUGACUCCUAUCUCCUUCAACUUACCAAGUGUGCAGUCCUACCAAAACAUUCUCCUGGGUUUCAGCCAAAAUGUUUCACCCCUGCAGGCUUAUAUUUUUUUCCUUUCCUCCAUGUUAUAUUCCAUACAAUUUUGUACAGUUAUAAAUGAUGCCUUUGAAAUUCCCUGUAACCUAGGUGGGGUUUACUAUUUUUAUUAAUAAUAAUUCUGAAUCUUAUAUUAACUCAAACAGAUAAAGCAGGGAACUGAAGUACCGUACAUGUCACAAAAACAAAUACAAACAAUAGCUCCCCUUGUUCCUACCAUAAUUAUAUAAGACACAAAUCUGGGAACACACAAAAGUAGGGAAGAAAAAGGCUGUGGAUAGCAAUAGAGCAGUUGAACUAAGUUUAUUAUUGACAUCACCACCAUACUUCCAGUUUAGAAGAGCAUUUCCAUUCCAUAAAGAGGAUGAUUUUUUUUUUGCAGAUUGCAACCAUUCUGUACGUCAUGGGUAGCCAACAUGGCAACUUCCAUCAUUCCUUGACUAUUGGUGAUGCUAGAUGAGGCUGAUGGGAUUUGGAACUCAACCACAUCUAGGAGGCCACAGGUUUCCCACCCCUGACAUUACACCUUCCUUUCCAUUUGGGGCAUUGUCUGGCGGUUCAUUCAAAGUAGGUGAAAGAAACAGAUUAAACUCAAGAGGCUGAAUUUUCAUAGGUAGACAAUUAGGUCUUAUAACAUAUUCGUGCAAGCAGGCUCUGGCUGGAGACCACUCAGUUCAUCCCUAGCAUGGUUCUUUCUACACUAGAGAUUAAAAACAUCCCAAGGUAAAGACGAUUUCUCCCUCAGUUGUGUUCCACCUGCAAAAUGCCACAUGGUGGGGCUGUUGCAAGGCAUCCUUGCCUUGGCUGGAAUAUAUUUGUAAGAUUUAUUUAUUUAUUGCUCAAUAAAUACUGAGCAGGGUUGUUGUUGUAGAUGUGUUGUUGGCAAGAGGCUGUUUCAAGGUCUUACUCUUGAAAUUUGCUAUUUUUGAGCUCUGUAUAAGCCUAACUCAGCUAUUGUGGGAGCAGCAGCCAGGAGAAGGUGUGUAUGAAGGAAUAGAGAACGAUCCUCUUAUACUAGAAUGUCAAGAAGGAAAGAGAAAGGGCCUUUCUUUGGAAUGGAUGCCAAACAGAAUAGAACUGGGAGGGAGAGAAAGGUGGAGUGAGUUGCUAAGAAGUUCCCACACUUGUCAUUUCAGAAACAAACAUCAGAAACAGUGUCUGAUUUCUCUCUCUUUCCAACAGUUCCGAGAUAACAUGUCAUGUUGAAGAUGGGUUUCUUCUGUCUUGGAGUUUGGACCCACAGUAUCAAGGCCCUGACCAUCCAUACACACUGAGCCUGGAAUUAUUCUCCAACUCAAGAUUCCUGAAGUCAAGGACAGGGGCAGAAAAUGCUGUUUCUCAUGCUUUUGCUAGGAAGGACAAACCCAAGGAUGAGGAAUCUGUUGGUGGAGUUCAGCUUCCACCAUUCUUGCCCAUUGGCUAUGCUGACUGGGACGGAUGGGAUUUAGAGUCCAAGAACAUCUGAAGGGUACCAUGUUGGCUAACUCUGCUGUAUACUAUAUGCUUAAUCAACUGGCGACCACAGAGUUCCAGCUAGGUAAAUGCAGGAAAGAUAGCUACUCCUGUUUUUAAUCAGUGCAGGUUUUAUAGAGAAACCUCACUGAGUCUUUGGGGAGACUGGACUGGAACUUGCCACAGCAGUGGCCUGCAUGUCUUUGAUUUCCCAAGUCUUUUUAAACACCGGCACUCCCUGGCACCCCCCCCCCCCAAAUCCAUACAGCAAUUGUGAGUCUGAAAACUAUGAAUGAUUGCCAGCUGCUAGUUGCAAUCUUCAGAAAUGUGCCAAUUCAUCCUUCCUCUCCUCUCUUUGUUAAAUCCUAUCCCUCCCCUCCUCCGCCCCAUCUUAAGAGCAUGGAAUACAAAAAAGCUGCCUUCUACCAAGUCAGACCCCUGGUCCAUCUAGUUUAGUAUUGCAUACACUGACUGGCAGCAGCCCUCCAAGAUUUGAGGCAGGGGACAUUCCCAGCCCUAGCUGGAGAUGCUGGGAGGAUUGAACCUGGGACCUUUUUGAGCUUCUUGUGUACACACAGUGUAGAAUUUGCCCUGGAUGUAGAUUCUGAAAUAUAGCCCUUUCUCCAGAGAGUUAGGAAUAUGCAAGACACAGCUGUAGAGGAGGAAACUGCUUCCAAGAAUAAAAUUCCUGGUAAACAUUCCUGUAUUGCUUUAAUUAAAGCACAACUCAGCUCACAACAUCAGAAGAACAGAGGAAUGAAAGGGGAGCACCCACUGAUGCCUGUUAUGCUGCUACAGUAUGGUGGGGGGACCUGAAUAUUCAGGAGUUUGCAUUUGUGAUUUGCUUUCUUCUGAUAAAGCACUUAAGCUUUUUGCACAACACUGCAAGACUUGUGGCUUUUAGGAGCACAAUUACCCCUGCUUCGUUCUCAUUCGGACUCCUUCCAGUGGCAGAUAGCAGAGUUGCUGGCAGCACUAUAUUCUUGCUGCUGAACAUCCUUUGUAACGACACUGACAUUAACAGCAGCGCUCGCCCCUUUGUAUCCCUUCUGAUGGUGCCACUUAUCAACUGGACUUAAAAGAGCCUGGGACAAGCCACUGCGUCAGCUAAUGGAAAGCCACUUUUCCGAAGAAUUGCUUCGGAGCAGGUGCAGGGGGCUAGGGUCUUGUUGGUGUAAAUCAGUUUAUCUCUCAGUUUAUCUCAAUGGGUUUCGCUCAGGUAUAGGUACAGAUUGGGUUGUCAGUGGCUCAUGGAGGGUGCAUUCAAAGAAAAAGAGGGAAGGUAAUAGUUCAUUUUUGUUUGGAAAACAGAUUUAGCAGCAGGGGUCUAAAGACUGCUACCACUGUUACUCCGGCUCAUUGUGGAAUUGUUCACCUAACCUCUGCAUCUGGCCUGCCUGCAAAUCCCUGGAAGCAUUUGGAAGGGCCUUAGCUCAGGGAAUGGCCAUUGUGCAAUGGCAGAAGCUCUCAGUAUCUGUCCCUGGUAUCUGUAGGUAGGGCUGGGAAAGAUUCCUGCCAGUCAGCAUAAACCAGGGCAUCUUCAAACAUGCAGUUAGACAUGUUUUGUGCAGUGUCUUUGUUAUUUUUUUCUUCCUUCUUGUCUCCUUCUCUCUUAAUUCUUAUUUUCUCUUCCCUCCUUCAUGUUUUUUUUCCCUUUUGGUUAAAAAAUGGUUUGGGUACAGGCAGUGUGCUGGCUGCUUGUGCAGUGGGGGGGGGGGAGAAGCUCAGAAUAGAACUGGUGUAAACCAGCCUUCUCCCAGACCUUCAUCAGUCCCAGUCUUGGAAGGCAGUUGUUGUAGACCAGAACAUCUGGAGGACACAUUUAAUGGCCUUGAUCUACUUAGGCAAAGUGAGCAGAGACCACAUUGGCUUGCCAAAUCUGAUGGCAGAAGAUGGACUUCCAUUUUCUGGAGGAGGUGAUGGAGGAGGCCACUGAAUAGGAGCAGAAGCAGUCUCAAAACCAUGAAAAACUCCUCAUCGGGAGCCUGAGGUAGAGUUAAACAAACUGAUUACCUUAGGCCCGGCUGCAGAGUCAUUGCUGGGCAACAUCUCCUCAGAGUAGCUCCUAUCACCAGCAGUAUGAUUUAGCUUUGAUUCCUGCAUUGGAGAGGAUUGGAUGAGAUGACCCUUGAGGUCCAACCAACCCUACAGUUCUAUGAUUCUCUGGUGCAGGGUCUGGAAUGACUCACAGAAUUCCUCAAGCAAGCCGGCAUCUGCUGGGAAAUGUAUGCCACUACACCUGCAACCUUGGCACUUGGAGACAUCUUGGUGGAAGCGUUCAAGGAAGGCUGCUGUAGACCAUACUAAGGUAGAUAAACCAGGGCUGAUAUGGGGUAAAUCAGCUUCCUGUGCUCCUUCUUCUGCCCCUCCAAAAUGAGAUAUAUUUUCUCAUGAGAUAUAUUUCAUACUUAUGAUCCUUGGGGUGACGGCAGGAGACCAGAACGGGCUAAAGUCCUGGGAAUAUGUGGACUGUCAGGACAGUGUACACACCUGAUCUAUGAAAUAGCAGUCACUGUUUUGUACCAGGUACUGCUUUGCUACAGUAGCAUAGUUCAGAGCAUUGAACACCCACCCACACCAAAUCUCAGUUCAGCCUUAAACAAACAAGUUGGUUUAAUAAAGUGUAUCAGCUUACCUGGGUUGUGUUUCUUCUACAAAGAGCUAAAAUAGGACCCCAUUAAUAGCCACAGCAGUGAUAGUGAUGCUGUCUGCCCACUGACAUUGACAGGCACCCAGUGACUUGUGGUGACUCAUCUGCAAGGCUGCUUUAGACAAGAGGGUUUGCAAGUUUGAGCUUAUGGAGGGUGAUAGCUGCAGUGUCAUCAUUGCUUAUGAGGCUGCACAUUCUCACACAGAUUCACAGGUCUCUUGAUUGAUUAAGCUGAUCCUUCCUGCCAUCACUUCCCUCAAGAGACUUUGGCACCAGCCGCCUUUGGCACCAACAGCCCCCAAAUCCCAUUUCCUUGCAAGACUGAGUUCACAAAGAAGCACUUCAUGUGGAUGGUGUAGUAAAUUAUUUGUUAUGGGAAUUUCGAUGAACUGAGAAGGGAAUAUUUGACUACUGAAUCUGAUCCAGCUCACUGAUCUUAUGACCAACCUAUUCCUUCAUGCAACAUGCAACCUGACUGUGUGCAUCUUUACUCCAAAGUAAGUCCCAGUGUGUUUAAUUAGGUUUUCUCCAAAGUACAUGUGCACAGGGUUGCAGUCUAAGGCUGUGUGCACAUGAAUGGCUUUAAAUGCUGUGAAGUCAUUUCCCCCCUGUUAUGUUUCAGGUUGCAUUUUAUGUUGCAGUCUACAUACGCCAGAAUCUAGGCCCUGCAGAAAACCUUACAUCUCUAACUAUGGUAGAUUUAUUGUUCUGCAUUUUAAGGAUUAUUACAUUAACUGCUGUGGUGUGGUUUUUUUAAUAGAGAAAGCAGGAUAUACAUUUUCCAUAUACAUAAACAAAAUUUUCUUAUUAGGUUGGUAAUUCUAAUUCUUCACACACGUCCAAAAUCUUAUUGCGAUGAGAAUUCUAAAAUAAUAAGAUGCUGGAUGGAGCUUAGAAGUUCAGCCUUACUCAAUGCAAUGUGAAGCGUUUUCCUGCAUUCACUCUCCAUCUCUGUGUGUCAUUUAAACGUAAGCAUACGUGGGAAGAUCAUUUUGACAUUUCACUUUUUGUCUGAAAAUGUCAAAGUUCUGCAAUGCAGUUGUCCAGCUUUUCAUCCUUCUAAAAGGGGUGGCGGCAAUGGAUCCCUUGUGAAAUCACAUCCCUUCUAUAAUGAUAAAAGAAUCUUGGAUGCACCAUCAUGGGUAAGCAAAAUAAUAUCUUAGUCCUGACACCAUGGUGACAAUAGCCUGGGAGUAACUUUGCCUGGGCACCCUUCAAAAUCUGCAGUUUGAAUAGAUUGCUAAAAAAAAUAUGUCAGAGAAAGACGGAGUGUGGGUGGAAGCUAAAAUACACCCACAGUUUGCCUCACACUUACAGAAGGCCUCAGAAAUUGCAAUAUUUUGAAAUGUGAUUUAUUGACUACAUCAGGAACAUGUCGACACUAAUUCCAAAACCUUUUGUUGUUAUAUUAGCUUGUGGAGUCAUGGAAUGGAAAUUAAUAUAUAUUUUCUGGCAGCUGGAGCUACACAUGGCAGAUUGCUGAAGGCUGUUGUGCUGUGGUUUGAUAAGGAAUCCCCAUAGAGAAAGCAGCAAGGCAGGCCAGAAGUUUCAGGACCACGGAUAGCUCCAAGUGAGCAACUUGCUUCACCUAGACCAGGGGUCUGCAACCUUUAAGACAAAAAGAGCCACUUGGACCCGUUUCCGAAGAAAAAAAAACUGGGAGCCGCAAAACUCGUCAUUAUAAAAAUAACUUUUUUGUCACUUUUUUAUUAUUUCUUUGUUUGACCCCUCAGAAUUACUCCUCCUCAUAGAAAUAAACGUUAAAUUAACAAGUUACCUUUGUGUGUGUGUGUGUGUGUGUGUGUGUGUGUGUGUGUUCUUCACUCCCCUUCAUAACAGUGACCAGCGUACAUGCCCCCUUUCAAUGCAGUGACCAGCGUACAUGGCCC